Molecule: small nucleolar RNA, 132 nt
Organism: Acomys russatus (golden spiny mouse)
Lineage: Eukaryota; Metazoa; Chordata; Mammalia; Rodentia; Muridae
Product: small nucleolar RNA SNORA1
Exons: 1
Source: RefSeq, a predicted model, not a curated record
UGCCAGGUUCUGCAGAAACUAUGAAUGGGUCUUCUUGUCCAGAACUGGUCGAUGUGGCUAAAUUAACACACAGGUCAUGGCUUCCAUCACAGUAGUUGUAUUACAGUCAUGACAAUGAGACCUGUAACAUUU